RNAcentral lists this ribosomal RNA (433 nucleotides) under uncultured bacterium. RNAcentral describes it as "partial 16S ribosomal RNA". It matches the Rfam family "Bacterial small subunit ribosomal RNA", at positions 29 to 507 of the family's 1533-position model. The record is from RNAcentral.
AACGAACGCUGGCGGCAUGCCUAACACAUGCCAGUCGAACGAGACCUUCGGGUCUAGUGGCGCACGGGUGCGUAACGCGUGGGAACCUGCCCUUAGGUUCGGAAUAACUCCCCGAAAGGGGUGCUAAUACCGGAUAAUGUCUUCGGACCAAAGAUUUAUCGCCUUUGGAUGGGCCCGCGUUGGAUUAGCUAGUUGGUAGGGUAAAAGCCUACCAAGGCGACGAUCCAUAGCUGGUCUGAGAGGAUGAUCAGCCACACUGGGACUGAGACACGGCCCAGACUCCUACGGGAGGCAGCAGUGGGGAAUAUUGGACAAUGGGCGAAAGCCUGAUCCAGCAAUGCCGCGUGAGUGAUGAAGACCUUAGGGUUGUAAAGCUCUUUUACCCGGGAUGAUAAUGACAGUACCGGGAGAAUAAGCUCCGGCUAACUCCGUG